This 258-nucleotide long non-coding RNA is filed under the name Phoenix dactylifera (date palm). RNAcentral describes it as "long non-coding RNA (PDAC_LNC007359)". The record is from RNAcentral. Lineage: Eukaryota; Viridiplantae; Streptophyta; Magnoliopsida; Arecales; Arecaceae.
CCGUGCUAUAGUAUCUUAUAGUCCACGUAGGCUAUUGGUUGGAUCCGCUCUGAUACCUAUUGCCGCAAUCCAGGAUCUCACCCAAAGUGACUAGCUCAAAGAUGUUAUCUGGGUUCCUUGACUCUGUACAAAUACUUGAGAUAUAUCCAAUGCAUGGUCGAUAUAGGACUAAACACAUGCCCGCACGGAUCCUCACAUACUUCUUCCGUUUAAGCUCUAACUUCUCCGCUAAGCUAAGAGUCCAAAUCCACUCAAAUC